GAUGAACGCUGGCGGCGUGCCUAAUACAUGCAAGUCGAGCGAACAGAUGAGGAGCUUGCUCCUCUGACGUUAGCGGCGGACGGGUGAGUAACACGUGGAUAACCUACCUAUAAGACUGGGAUAACUUCGGGAAACCGGAGCUAAUACCGGAUAAUAUAUUGAACCGCAUGGUUCAAUAGUGAAAGACGGUUUUGCUGUCACUUAUAGAUGGAUCCGCGCCGCAUUAGCUAGUUGGUAAGGUAACGGCUUACCAAGGCAACGAUGCGUAGCCGACCUGAGAGGGUGGUCGGCCACACUGGAACUGAGACACGGUCCAGACUCCUACGGGAGGCAGCAGGAGGGAAUCUGCCGGAAUGGGCGAAAGCCUGACGGAGCAACGCCGCGUGAGUGAUGAAGGUCGUCGGAUCGUAAAACUCUGUUAUUAGGGAAGAACAAAUGUGUAAGUAACAAUGCACGUCUUGACGGUACCUAAUCAGAAAGCCACGGCUAACUACGUG
Molecule: ribosomal RNA, 497 nt
Filed under: uncultured bacterium
Lineage: Bacteria
Description: partial 16S ribosomal RNA
Rfam family: Bacterial small subunit ribosomal RNA
Source: RNAcentral